This 29-nucleotide ribosomal RNA is filed under the name Cordyceps militaris. Its description in RNAcentral is "partial 18S ribosomal RNA". The record is from RNAcentral. Lineage: Eukaryota; Fungi; Ascomycota; Sordariomycetes; Hypocreales; Cordycipitaceae.
CUCGUUGGUGACCAGCGGAGGGAUCAUUA